UUUGACACAUUUUUCAACAUUGGUUGAAAGACAAUUUUGUGCCGAAAACAUCACUGUAUAUAUAGCUACAAUCAUGAAAAUAAUGCAUGACUUUUUAAAAGUUUGAGUCGUCAUAAUGUAUAUUAUUAGAACAAAUAUGAAAUUCUAAUAUAGUUUAGUCUGAUUUUGAUCGUUGAUCGUGAAAUGAUGAUUUUUUUGUAAUCUCUUGGUAAUUUAUAUAGAAAGUUAAUGAUGACUAUUUUAACAGUUUGUUUUUUUUUUUUUUUGUUUCUCUGUUUUAACGUAUAUAAACCGAAUCAUUUAUGUUAAACUUAUCUGUACUUUCUUAUGUUAGUUAUCUAUCCAGUUUUUCUUAUAACAAUAUAAAAUAUAUCAUUUA
RNAcentral lists this long non-coding RNA (379 nucleotides) under Brassica rapa (field mustard). RNAcentral's name for it is "long non-coding RNA (BRAP_LNC006923)". The record is from RNAcentral. Lineage: Eukaryota; Viridiplantae; Streptophyta; Magnoliopsida; Brassicales; Brassicaceae.